Molecule: ribosomal RNA, 404 nt
Filed under: bacterium
Lineage: Bacteria
Description: partial 16S ribosomal RNA
Rfam family: Bacterial small subunit ribosomal RNA
Source: RNAcentral
UGGGGAAUAUUGGACAAUGGGCGAAAGCCUGAUCCAGCCAUGCCGCGUGGGUGAAGAAGGCCCUAGGGUUGUAAACCCCUUUCAGCGGGGAAGAUAAUGACGGUACCCGCAGAAGAAGCCCCGGCUAACUCCGUGCCAGCAGCCGCGGUAAUACGGAGGGGGCUAGCGUUGUUCGGAAUUACUGGGCGUAAAGCGCGCGUAGGCGGACCUGCAAGUCGGGGGUGAAAGCCCGAGGCUCAACCACGGAACUGCCUUCGAUACUGCGGGUCUCGAGUCCGGGAGAGGUGAGUGGAAUUCCUAGUGUAGAGGUGAAAUUCGUAGAUAUUAGGAAGAACACCAGUGGCGAAGGCGGCUCACUGGCCCGGUACUGACGCUGAGGCGCGAAAGCGUGGGGAGCAAACAGG